Molecule: ribosomal RNA, 500 nt
Filed under: uncultured bacterium
Lineage: Bacteria
Description: partial 16S ribosomal RNA
Rfam family: Bacterial small subunit ribosomal RNA
Source: RNAcentral
AUUGAACGCUGGCGGAAUGCUUUACACAUGCAAGUCGAACGGCAGCACGGACUUCGGUCUGGUGGCGAGUGGCGAACGGGUGAGUAACAUAUCGGAACGUAUCCAAUAAUGGGGGAUAACUAAUCGAAAGGUUGGCUAAUACCGCAUACGCCCUACGGGGGAAAGCAGGGGAUCUUCGGACCUUGCGUUAAUGGAGCGGCUGAUAUCAGAUUAGCUAGUUGGUGAGGUAAAGGCUCACCAAGGCGACGAUCAGUAGCUGGUCUGAGAGGACGACCAGCCACACUGGAACUGAGACACGGUCCAGACUCCUACGGGAGGCAGCAGUGGGGAAUUUUGGACAAUGGGCGCAAGCCUGAUCCAGCCAUUCCGCGUGAGUGAAGAAGGCCUUCGGGUUGUAAAGCUCUUUCGCAAGGGAAGAAGACUUACUUUCUAAUAAAGAGUGAGGUUGACGGUACCUUGAUAAGAAGCACCGGCUAACUACGUGCCAGCAGCCGCAGUAA